Molecule: ribosomal RNA, 500 nt
Filed under: uncultured bacterium
Lineage: Bacteria
Description: bacterial SSU rRNA
Rfam family: Bacterial small subunit ribosomal RNA
Source: RNAcentral
UUCGAUUCUGGCUCAGGAUGAACGCUGGCGGCACGCCUAACACAUGCAAGUCGAACGGAGUUUAGUGGGGCUUGCUCCUAUAAACGUUAGUGGCGGACGGGUGAGUAACACGUGAGCAACCUGCCUUUCAGAGAGGGAUAGCUUCUGGAAACGGAUGGUAAUACCUCAUAACAUAUUGAUACGGCAUCGUAUUUAAUAUACAAAAGAUUUUAUCGCUGAAAGAUGGGCUCGCGUCUGAUUAGCUGGUUGGUGAGGUAACGGCCCACCAAGGCAACGAUCAGUAGCCGGACUGAGAGGUUGAACGGCCACAUUGGGACUGAGACACGGCCCAGACUCCUACGGGAGGCAGCAGUGGGGAAUAUUGCACAAUGGGCGCAAGCCCUGAUGCAGCGAUGCCGCGUGAGGGAAGAAGGUUUUCGGAUUGUAAACCUCUGUCAUCGGGGACGAAAAUGACGGUACCCGAGAAGGAAGCCUCCGGCUAACUACGUGCCAGCCGCCGC